Molecule: long non-coding RNA, 275 nt
Filed under: Homo sapiens (human)
Lineage: Eukaryota; Metazoa; Chordata; Mammalia; Primates; Hominidae
Description: non-protein coding lnc-TARDBP-10:1
Source: RNAcentral
CUGGCUCCUCGGUCCUUUCUCCACUCGCCCUGAAAGUGCCUCCCUGCCUGGCAGCUCCGAGUGUUGGCGGGGCCUGCCCGCUGCUGACACACACAUUUUCAGAGCCCACCGCCGUCUUUCAUCCCAGCAGCCCCCGUGACAGACGCAGGUUUCUGGCUGUAAACCGUCCCUCCCUGCCCCCUUUCUUCUCCCCUCCCCGACCCUCUCCUCUGCAAGAGCUGUCCCCUCCAAAAGACCACUUGCGCCUCCCACCCCACUUCAUAGCCCUUCUCUUC